Molecule: long non-coding RNA, 1466 nt
Filed under: Homo sapiens (human)
Lineage: Eukaryota; Metazoa; Chordata; Mammalia; Primates; Hominidae
Description: HSALNT0376331
Source: RNAcentral
AACGUGCUCGGCGCGCAGCUGGCCGGCCGGCCAGCCCAACGCCGCCAGAGCGCUCGCCGCGGGCGGACCCCGGAGCUGCUCCGCUUUGUUCCCGGCUCGCCUCCACUUCCCCGCCGGCGCCGGCCGGCUCCCGAGCGACCCUCACCUGCGAUCACGCCGACUGCCACUUGUCCACCUUCUCCACUACAAAGGCAACGAGGGGAGACCCCGUCCUCCCAGGGGACCGCCUCUCUCCGGCCCCGCCGCGCCCCUGGCUGCCGCUUCUCCCGCUGCCACUGCCCGACUCCGCGCGGGGAAUUGCGUCCCACCGCCACUUCCCCGCCUCUCGGAGCUCCUGGGAAGUUUCUGAUCUACUUUCGGCUCUGAAGGAGGAAGAGCUGUUGGGAGGAGCUUUUCACUCCUCGCUUCUACCUUUUUAUUGGCUACUCGAUGACUUUUACAGCCUGUCACUGAUACAGGAAGAGACAGCGGAGAGCCUGGGAGAACUACAUUAUUAAUUAAUGGAGCAACCCCUCGUGAAGAUUCAGAAGCAUCCUCCAUGUUUGAGAUUAUCAGCCAAAAGAUCUAGGGAAAGCGCUGGGGGUUCAUAAACACAUGGCUAACAAAGUAAAGCCUUCAAGUCUGGCACAGACUCUUGACUACACGAUGGGAAAAGGGAUUCCAAUUACGAUUUAACUUGUAUUUUAAAGAUGAGAAAAGAAAUGAAUAAGAAAAUUUGUUGCUAUUUUUCUUCUUCCAAAUUAGAAUCUAUAUCUCUAAAAAUACUUUGCAUGUUUAGUAAACAUCCAUCUUGAACAGAAGAUACCUUGACAUCAGUUCUAUUUAAUACUUAUGGCAAUUAAGAGAUUUAGAAAGCAGAGGAAAAGACCAAAAAAAAAGUAUGUGUUACAAAGUGUCAUCAUGCUUGUAGGACCCCAGCAUUCUUGAAACUAACGCACCUUUAAAAAGUAAUAUUUACACUGCUGUAAAUAUUUGCAAAGUAUCAAUGUUUAAUUCACUUAGAAUUUUAAGGAUUAUGGAUUUACUAGCGAAAAUUCCCCUAAAGCAACUUUCCCAUAUCAGUAACUUUUAUUUAGGGAAACAAGUUUAAUGUACAUAAUACAUGUGACCUUGGAAUUCAAUAGAAUUUUCGAAACUAGAAGUAACUCAGAACGUUCACUAGAUGUGUUUUAAAGUCUUUUUUGAUACUGUCCUUAACAUUUGCUUAUUUGCAAAUUAAUAUGUAAGAAUGAGUCUAAAAGUAAGUUUUAGGAAUGGUUAUUCGACAAAGAUGUUAUUCCUAUUACCAAUACUGCGAAAUGAUAAUUACAGAAACAAUGUGGGAUCCGUUUUAUAACUUCAAAUUUAAGUUCCUUUGUACUUUGGAGCAGAAAAUGUAAGAAAUCGAAAUCAAGAGUUAGUAUUUUUUAUCUUUCAGGCUGGCUUUAACUGUUCAUACACCUAGCAAAAUAAACAUUUGUGAAAGG